GUUAAAUACUAUAAUCCUUGGCCCAAGAAAUUAAUUGCUUUCGAUUAAGUCCACACAAAGAUCUUAAUCGGCUUAACAGAAAUAGGUGAGAGCAUUAGCAUCAAAUACUUUUCAUAAUCUAUAAUCCUCUUUCUUCUCUUAACUUUGCCUACAAUUUAAUGAUCAACUUUUAUCCUAGCAAAACUUCAAACCCCUUUCAAAUGGGUAGAUCAAAAAUAUCAUAGCUAGGAGUAAGAAACAUUCCAGGUCUAAGCCCAUCCAAGGCACCAUUAAUCCGUUAAUACUAAAUUUAAGAUGCUCAAAAUCUCCCAAGAAUUGCCAACAAUAGAAAAACUCACUAGUGAAAUUAUAUAGCUAUCUCCAGAUUAUUCAGAGAAUCAACAAUACUUUUUUUUUCCAGUAGAAUUCUAAUUCAAAUUUUUUUUUUCUCAAUAAUUCUAUUCAUCAAUACAACUUCAUCAUUAGAUCUUAUCAAAAGAAAUAAGGUCUAAUAUUUCCAGAUUUGAUUCUUUUGGUAGGUGAUCUAAAUCAAACUUUUCUCUUAUACACGAAAAACAACGUCUUAAUUCUGAAUAAGAAUAUCCAAUUUCUUUAUCAAACUAUCAACUUCUCUUGAUUAACCGAUCUAUCACAAGAUUAGAUCAUAAACAAUUCUAAUCCAUCCUUGGUAGAUAUUCAUCAAAGUCGAUUAACCACCUCAAUUUCUUUCAACCAAAUAAAGGGUUGAUAUUAAUUAAAGAAAUUCAAGCUUCAAUUUUAGGAGGACGGAGGUUUAUAUCAACAUAUUCCAGAUCUAAGAUCAAAAUUG
RNAcentral lists this long non-coding RNA (808 nucleotides) under Phoenix dactylifera (date palm). RNAcentral's name for it is "long non-coding RNA (PDAC_LNC017717)". The record is from RNAcentral. Lineage: Eukaryota; Viridiplantae; Streptophyta; Magnoliopsida; Arecales; Arecaceae.